This is a long non-coding RNA of Mauremys mutica (yellowpond turtle), 1059 nucleotides long. RefSeq lists it as uncharacterized. The record is from RefSeq and is a predicted model, not a curated record. Lineage: Eukaryota; Metazoa; Chordata; Testudines; Geoemydidae. The transcript is spliced from 5 exons.
GGCAGGAAUGACUCACCCGCUGGCGCUCCGGGUCUUCGCUCCGGGUCUUCCACAGCACUGAAGGACCCACCACCGAAGACUCAGAGCAAGUGAAGAACCCGCCGCUGAAGUGCCGCUAAAGACCUGGAGCACCGCUGGCCCUGCAGAGCCACCACAGCUCUGAAAAAGAGUGCUGGAUUCCAUUCCUAGUUGUGCAUCAGCGCCAGAAUUACUUACCGACUAGAAGACAGACAAGCUGGGUGAGUGACAUCACCCAGACCUUCCUCUUCUGUCUGCAGCGUGUGGCAGCCGCUCGAUUCCUUUCCAGAAAUUUCCGCCGCCUCUCGUCUGGGUCUUCAUCCACCACCCUCCUCCGGCGACCCCCAGUGGGCUGAGGCGGCUGUAUUGUCUGCGUGGGCUGCAUCUGCUGUGCCGCUGGUGAAACCUAACGGGAAAACAACAAAAACAAAUUCAACAUAGAUGCAAAUCAAGAGAGACAGGGAGAAGCCUGACAUGCAGCUGGUUUCAGUCAAUACGGUGCAUUUCAAGGCAAAGGGACUCAAACAAAGAUACGAUCAAGUACCCAAUCGUGCUCCCAUUCACAUCAGCAGAAGUUAUGCCACUGACUUUAAAGGGAACUCCUGGUGCUCAGCAAUUCUGAAAAUUGGAUUAAGAAAGAAGACAGAAUACUUGGAACUCUGCCAUUUUUUCCUGAGAGUAGGUGGCAUCCACAUUUCUGAAGAUCCCCACACUGUUUCUUUACCUUAUAUUCCACCUCUAGAUGUCUCACCUCAAAGUAACCAGCCACCUAGCCCAAAAGGACUGCAGGACAUUUCUUUAAUAGCCCCUCAUUGCAGUUAACCAGAGGGACCGCUAUUGAGCAUCACUGAGCAAACCCUGCCCCUAGCAGAAAUGGGUAGCAAGAGACUAAGAUGAGGAAUUGGCAAUUAAAUUAGGUUUCCUGCAUGCCACUGCAAUUUGUUUGACAUCUUUACUUAUUUUUUGCCAUUUUUUCUCCUGUGUCCCAACAUCAAUAACUUGAUGGUCAAAAAAAAAAGCCAUUUUUUUCCCCAUCAGGAA